GAGGAACGCUGGCGGCGUGCCUAAUACAUGCAAGUCGAGCGAACAGACGAGGAGCUUGCUCCUCUGACGUUAGCGGCGGACGGGUGAGUAACACGUGGAUAACCUACCUAUAAGACUGGGAUAACUUCGGGAAACCGGAGCUAAUACCGGAUAAUAUAUUGAACCGCAUGGUUCAAUAGUGAAAGACGGUUUUGCUGUCACUUAUAGAUGGAUCCGCGCCGCAUUAGCUAGUUGGUAAGGUAACGGCUUACCAAGGCAACGAUGCGUAGCCGACCUGAGAGGGUGAUCGGCCACACUGGAACUGAGACACGGUCCAGACUCCUACGGGAGGCAGCAGUAGGGAAUCUUGCGCAAUGGGCGAAAGCCUGACGGAGCAACGCCGCGUGAGUGAUGAAGGUCUUCGGAUCGUAAAACUCUGUUAUUAGGGAAGAACAAAUGUGUAAGUAACUAUGCACGUCUUGACGGUACCUAAUCAGAAAGCCACGGCUAACUACGUG
Molecule: ribosomal RNA, 497 nt
Filed under: uncultured bacterium
Lineage: Bacteria
Description: partial 16S ribosomal RNA
Rfam family: Bacterial small subunit ribosomal RNA
Source: RNAcentral